Molecule: ribosomal RNA, 414 nt
Filed under: uncultured microorganism
Description: bacterial SSU rRNA
Rfam family: Archaeal small subunit ribosomal RNA
Source: RNAcentral
CAGCCGCCGCGGUAAUACCGGCGGCCCGAGUGGCGGUCACUAUUAUUGGGCUUAAAACGUCCGUAGCCGGGUUGGGAAGUCCUCCGGGAAAUCUGGCCGCUUAACGGUCAGAAUGCCGGAGGAUACUCCCAGCCUAGGGAGCGGGAGAGGCCGAGGGGAUUCCCGGAGUAGGGGGGAAAUCCUAUAAUCCCGGGAGGACCACCUGUGGCGAAGGCGCUCGGCGGGAACGCGUCCGACGGGGAGGGACGAAGGCCAGGGGAGCAAACCGGAUUAGAUACCCGGGUAGUCCUGGCUGUAAACGAUGCGGACUUUGUGUCGGACAAGCUAUGAGCUUGUCCGGUGCCGGAGGGAAACCGUUAAGUCCGCCGCCUGGGGAGUACGGCCGCAAGGCUGAAACUUAAAGGAAUUGGCGGG